UACGUAUGGUGCAAGCGUUAUCCGGAUUUACUGGGUUUAAAGGGUGCGUAGGCUGUGAGGUAAGUCAGCGGUGAAAUGCCCCCGCUCAACGGGGUGAAGUGCCAUUGAUACUGCCUUGCUGGAAUGCGGAUGCCGUGGGAGGAAUGUGUGGUGUAGCGGUGAAAUGCAUAGAUAUCACACAGAACACCGAUUGCGAAGGCAUCUCACGAAUCCGCGAUUGACGCUGAUGCACGAAAGCGUGGGUAUCAAACAGG
Molecule: ribosomal RNA, 254 nt
Filed under: uncultured bacterium
Lineage: Bacteria
Description: partial 16S ribosomal RNA
Rfam family: Bacterial small subunit ribosomal RNA
Source: RNAcentral